GGGGAUGUACAGGCUUCGACGGCGCGGCGUAGCGACGGAAAGCAAGUGGUAGGGUCGACUACCUAAAAACGCAAAAGGCUAUAAUUGCCAACAAAAACGAAAACGCCAAAGUCAUGAAGUUCGCGGCUCCGGUUGCGGCUCCGGCAAUGGCAUUCGCAGCUUAAUUUAGCUACGGCGUUCGUCCCCGCUACCUAUCGGCGGUGCGGCGAGCGUAAUUAAACGGUAGGCUCCUCGGUGCGGCGGCGGUCGUUCCGUAUCGAGUAACAAGACCUUGCGCAUGCAAACCUUUGUUUAUUGCGGUUUGCCUGCGGACGCCGAGCGAUAAACUAAACUUGUAGAAGUCCCCGCAAACCCGCGUCGGAAACCGGUUCGAUUCCGGUCAUCUCCACCA
RNAcentral lists this transfer-messenger RNA (391 nucleotides) under Clostridiales bacterium. It matches the Rfam family "transfer-messenger RNA". Rfam says of the family: Bacterial tmRNA, also known as 10Sa RNA or SsrA, is named for its dual tRNA and mRNA-like properties. Its role is to liberate the mRNA from a stalled ribosome. To accomplish this part of the tmRNA is used as a reading frame that ends in a translation stop signal. The record is from RNAcentral. Lineage: Bacteria; Bacillati; Bacillota; Clostridia; Eubacteriales.